GCUGGGCAUGGUGGUGCACACCUGUAGUUCCAGCUACUCGGAAAGCUGAGGUGGGAGGAUUGCUUGAGCCCAGGAGCCCAGGAGCUCAAGGCUUUAGUGAUCGAGUCAUGCACUGUGAUCGAGUCAUGCACUCCAGCCUGGGCAACAGAGCAAGACCCCCUCUCUU
Molecule: small RNA, 166 nt
Filed under: Pongo abelii (Sumatran orangutan)
Lineage: Eukaryota; Metazoa; Chordata; Mammalia; Primates; Hominidae
Description: Metazoan signal recognition particle RNA (ENSPPYG00000040123.1)
Source: Rfam by way of RNAcentral